AUGUGUAUCAUCAGUAAAAAGGGUAGUCAAGUAGAUUUGUUAGUCCUUUUUGUGCAAGACAGUUUUUACAUGCUUUCAUCUUAACUCGGAUCCAUUAGUUAUGCAUCUACGAAUUAUAACUCGAUUUACAUCUAUGUAAUCUAUUACCUUCGAAUCCAUCAGUUAUGCAUCUACGAAUUAUUACUCAAUUUACAUCUAUGUAAUCUAUUACCUUCAUUCAAGUGUUUAGAAGUACGAUAUAUGUUUACCGUAUAUGAUUACGGAUUAUGGUAUGUUCUUCAAUUUGAUGAAAUGCAGACUUGUGUAAAUUGUUGUACUGCUUUUGAUUCUAUUUUGGUCAGUAUGAAUUGCAG
This 353-nucleotide long non-coding RNA is filed under the name Solanum tuberosum (potato). Its description in RNAcentral is "long non-coding RNA (STUB_LNC001731)". Lineage: Eukaryota; Viridiplantae; Streptophyta; Magnoliopsida; Solanales; Solanaceae. The record is from RNAcentral.